Non-coding RNA from Acanthosepion pharaonis, 114 nucleotides. The record is from the annotation of a GenBank genome assembly. NCBI's taxonomy places the organism in Eukaryota, Metazoa, Mollusca, Cephalopoda, Sepiida, Sepiidae.
UUACGACCACAUCACGUUAAAACACCGGCUCCCGUAUGAUCACCGAAGUUAAGCAACGUCGGGCCGGAUCAGUACCUAGAUGGGUGACCACUUGAGAAUAUCAGGUGCUGUAAG